This 253-nucleotide ribosomal RNA is filed under the name uncultured bacterium. RNAcentral describes it as "partial 16S ribosomal RNA". It matches the Rfam family "Bacterial small subunit ribosomal RNA", at positions 524 to 776 of the family's 1533-position model. The record is from RNAcentral.
UACAGAGGGUGCAAGCGUUGUUCGGAAUUACUGGGCGUAAAGCGCGUGUAGGUGGCGAUGUAAGUCGGGUGUGAAAUCCCUUGGCUCAACCAAGGAAGUGCAUUCGAUACUGUGUCGCUUGAGUACUGGAGGGGAUGGCGGAAUUCCCGGUGUAGAGGUGAAAUUCGUAGAUAUCGUAAGGAAGACCAGUGGCGAAGGCGGGUCUCUGGGCCAUAACUGACGCUGAGAAGCGAAAGCAUGGGGAGCGAACAGG